GAUUAUGAAAAUCCAAUAAAUAAAAAUAUCAGGGAUAACAUGGUUGGGAGAAGUGUACAUUUAAGAUUAGUUAUAGUGGAGUGGACGUGAUAAUAACGAGGCAAAAUCUUUAGCAGACCAUUUUGGUAUCACCAAGACUCACAGCAAAUUGGCUGCUUCUGAUGACCAAACAUGAAGGAUGUAUUAAAUUUUGUAAUAUGUUGUGACAUUUUCCAGCAUAGCAACACAAGAUUUGGAAAAAUCAGCAAUGAGUUGCAUUCAAUUCCUAUUCCGGC
Molecule: long non-coding RNA, 275 nt
Organism: Gordionus sp. m RMFG-2023
Lineage: Eukaryota; Metazoa; Nematomorpha; Gordioida; Chordodea; Parachordodidae
Exons: 3
Source: RefSeq, a predicted model, not a curated record